RNAcentral lists this ribosomal RNA (394 nucleotides) under uncultured bacterium. Its description in RNAcentral is "bacterial SSU rRNA". It matches the Rfam family "Bacterial small subunit ribosomal RNA", at positions 56 to 454 of the family's 1533-position model. The record is from RNAcentral.
UGCAGUCGACGGCAGCACGGGGGCACCCUGGUGGCGAGUGGCGAACGGGUGAGUAACAUAUCGGAACGUGCCCUGGAGUGGGGGAUAACUAGUCGAAAGAUUAGCUAAUACCGCAUACGAUCUACGGAUGAAAGUGGGGGAUCGCAAGACCUCAUGCUCGUGGAGCGGCCGAUAUCUGAUUAGCUAGUUGGUGGGGUAAAGGCCUACCAAGGCAUCGAUCAGUAGCUGGUCUGAGAGGACGACCAGCCACACUGGGACUGAGACACGGCCCAGACUCCUACGGGAGGCAGCAGUGGGGAAUUUUGGACAAUGGGCGCAAGCCUGAUCCAGCAAUGCCGCGUGAGUGAAGAAGGNCUUCNGGGUUGUAAAGCUCUUUUGUCAGGGNANAAACGGU